This 255-nucleotide ribosomal RNA is filed under the name uncultured cyanobacterium. RNAcentral's name for it is "partial 16S ribosomal RNA". It matches the Rfam family "Bacterial small subunit ribosomal RNA", at positions 942 to 1198 of the family's 1533-position model. Lineage: Bacteria; Bacillati; Cyanobacteriota. The record is from RNAcentral.
UGGUUUAAUUCGAUGCAACGCGAAGAACCUUACCAGGGUUUGACAUCCUGCGAAUCUCUUGGAAACGAGAGAGUGCCUUCGGGAACGCAGUGACAGGUGGUGCAUGGCUGUCGUCAGCUCGUGUCGUGAGAUGUUGGGUUAAGUCCCGCAACGAGCGCAACCCACGUCUUUAGUUGCCAGCAUUUAGUUGGGCACUCUAGAGAGACCGCCGGUGAUAAACCGGAGGAAGGUGUGGAUGACGUCAAGUCAUCAUGC